ACAACUUGUCUGGCACUUGAGAUUCCAGGUACCUCACCAAAUUGGUCUUCGGGUGACUCGUGACCUCGCUGCUACUCGUAGCAAUACAUACAAUCAAACAAACAAUGUAUAUGGUAACAUUACACUAAAGAUAGAACACAGUUGCAUUAAAACAUAAAAGAUUUGGAUUGUAUAAGCUUUUGGAUUUAUUUUUUUUAUAAAAAAAACAAUUACAACUUUAUUUAUUAUUUUAUGUAAAUCGAUGCUUCUGCUAGUGCGGAUCCUAUGUGCAAUAAACCAUAUACUUUAGGUCGUGGAAAAUAAUUUUUUUGCAAGAGACAUAAAAUAGUAAAUUCGUUUUUUUUUUUGGGAAAGAACAUGGCUCUUACAAAAAUAUAGGCACGACCGCAGCUUGGACGACGUGACGUGAUUAUAUUGAAGCCAACCACACAUAUGGACAUGGGGUGUUUGAACGAUGAAGAUCCAUGAGACAUCCAGGAACGAACAGUGGCUUGCUUCUUUUCCCUACGUAUACAACGCUUUCUUCGUUUCUUCUCUACUGCACCAACGACACGCACAGCGGGUCGGAACGGCACCGACGGAGUCUUGCUGGCGGCCGGUCCAGAGGAAUCAACGGUGACCGGAUCAUCACCAACCUCAACAACAGACGGUAGCAGCACAGCCCGGCGGCGCCUUGGAAUCUGGCGGCCGGAUCUCACCGGCGACAGCGAUUAGGCGCCCCAGUAUCAUAAUCACCAACGUUCUGGAGUAUGAAUCAUGACGCAAAUAGCUUCUACUCAUAGUGGGCAAGAAAUUGAACUCGGGGAAAGAAAUCUCACCGGAAGGAACAGGGACAGACGGCCUUCAGAGACUCGACCGAGAGUUUUGGCUGUCCGGCAAUGGAGUCAGCCCUGGUAGUAGAGGCAGACCACGAUGCAGCAGCCCGGCGAUGUAGCACCCCGCAGGUGAAGGAUUCCCCGGCCACCAGGGCACCCUCCAUGUGACUCGACGACCAAACUGUCUCUACCUCUCUCUCGGCAUUUUCCUCGCUGUUUGGCCCAUGGUAACGCAGCAGAAGCCCCAGGCGACGGCAAUAGAGGCGGCCGUGCACCAGAGGAAGCGCGGAGUCGUCAGAGGGAGCCCCGCUCGGCCGCCAAGGAAGAGGAGCAGGGAUACCGGGUGCCGAGCACCAUGGAUGGGCAGGAGAGGAGCUCGGUCGAGGGGAGAGAAAUGGAGAGGAGAGGGAGGAGAGAUAAGAGAACUCGGCGACGAAGACUCCAACCCGCUCAUCUCUUCUGUGGCGCGAGGGACGAAGUUCAUAUGGCCAGGGGAGCGGCGCGCGCGCCCCGCCGGGGUCUUCGGCCGGAUUUGUUGAGCUGCCCACGAAGCACGGAUGACUGAGGGUUGUUGGGGGAAGAAGUUGUGCGUGCCCAGAUUCUAGAAGCACUAGACGAGCGGACGCACUGCCACCCAUCGGGAUUCCGUUGAGAUCUCCACGGAAUUAAGUUGGAGAAGGGAGCCAUGAGCGCUGGGCAAGCGGAUGAAUCAGACAGGCAUACCCCGAGGUCACGGGAAAAUCCAAACUGACCCCUAGGUUACCGGUGAGCUAAUCCCUGCGAGGAGGUUGGAUCGUGCGCAGCAAUCGGACCACGCGACAUUAGCGCAACUCCGCCAUGCACGGCGCUCGUUGGGAGGAAGAGGCAUAAUGGCCGUCGACUGGGUCCCGCCAAGCAGUCUGCGCAGCAUGCGUGGGAGCAUCGCGCCAAAGCAUGUGGCGGCUAGGGUUUGGGGCUAGCGUGCAUAGGAUAGCGGCAGCGCCUAGUUGGGCCGCGCAGGCGAAAGGCUAGGUGGGCCGGCACCCAAAAUUCAGCCCACGCGGUUGAAUACGGUUUUGCCUUUAUUCUUUUCCUUUUCUAUUUUUCCUAUUUCUUUCCUUUCCAUUUCAGAUCCAAAUUUUGAAUUCAAAGUUCGCAGAAGAAUCUGUACUCAUUUUAAGUAUUCAAUUUGAACAAAUCAGUGGGGUGAAUUUAUAUAUUUAUAAAUUCUAUCUUGUCUUUCAUAGUAUUUCUCUCUUGAAUUCCAAAUCCAAAUUUAGGCUUUAAACCAAAUCUUCAUCUCUUUAUUGUAUUCUCCUGUCAUUCCUUCUUGACAUUACAAAAUUCUAAUUCCAAUCUAAGAUAAAGUUUAGGAAUUCAAAUUUUUAAUACAUACUCUAACUCAAUUAUGAAGCCAUAGAUAUAUAUUUAUUUUAAUUGAUUAAAUGUUUAAAAUAUGAAACACACUCAUAUUGCUUUCUUUCUUUUUAGAAAACUAGUAUUUUGGCUGUGGGAUAAGAAGUAAAAGUUACUUUAAAAGUAAAUAUUCAUGUAAAUAAGUGCUUAUGGUGCAUCCUGUAAUGAUAUGCAUAAUCAUUUAGUUGAAUAGAAAACUUUUCUAUUUCUUCUUUUCUAAAGUAGUUCUUGGUUUUCAAAAUUUAGUCCUCAAAUUUCAACACUCAAGUAUAAUUUGAGAUCACUAACUUUGCUAUUUUAUUCCUUCAUAUAUUUAUUUUAUUAUUAAUUUUUUUUCUUAUACAGAUUUUGGCCUUACAAAUCCUACCCCCCUUAACAGAAAUCUCGUCCUCGAGAUUUGUAAGGAAAGGGUAUAUAACCAUGUUGUCUCAAAACAUAUGCACAAACAAAAAUCUCGGCAUGAUGCAUAAUUUAUUAACAAUGCAUGGGGUCACUUAGACCUUAUCAUUCCUCCUAAAAUAGUAUCAUACCAUUUACUAACUAAGGUAACAUUUGGAUCUUACAAAUAGUAAUAAUUUAUAUAUAUGUUUAUGUAGCUUGGUGGAGGUGGUGGUUAGGAAAGCAUGGGUGUAUAUAUGUAUGUCCACUUUAUUAUGUAGGAUAGAAGAUGCCUUUAAAGCAUAGACAGGUUUGGGUAAAAAAGUGUAGGGUAAGGAAAGACUCCAUCCAAGAUUUGUGGAUCUUGAUUCAUCUGAUGAUCUAGCUUGAUCUUUGAAGGCUUGAGUUGGGGCUGAAGACCAGAUUUGGCUUGACUCUUAUCCUUCCUUAACACGGUUGAUCCUUUCUUCCUUCCUUUGGUCUUGGUAUGAUCAUCCGAGUUAGGGAUAUGUAGUUAAGAUAAUUGUGGGUAGGAUAUAUUUCAUGGGGUAGGUUGGUUAGAAUCUCUGUUUUGUUGUUAGGUUGAUACAGAGGGUUUAUGCAACCAUUUGACGGGUAAGGUAGUUACAUAUGGUCAGGUAGUUGUAUAUGGCCAAGUUAGUCUGGGGCACCUAUUUAGGUUAAGUCAUGUUUAUAGAAAUAGGGUCUAAUCUAUAUCACCAGGGUUAACUAACCUGUUAAGUAAUUCAAUAUAGAUUGGGUCAUAUUAUAUUAGUUGGGUUCUGGAUUAGCUUGGUAUGGCAAGAUUAGACUAGAUAAGCUCUAAUAUUUUUUUGUGGGUUAGAUCGUAGUUGUUACUAUAGAAUGGGAUAAAUAUGUUUAUUAGGGUAAGAUGAAUCCAUAAGGAUAAGGUAGAAUCUCUUUCUUUUUUUUAGAUCAGUUAGAUCUAUUAGGAUGACAUGAAAUCUUUUUCAAGAUAGGAUGAUUCUAUUAAGGCAAUAGAGUAUCUCUUAAGAUAAGGUAAAUCUAUUAAGCUAGAUUAGGAUAAGUUAGGAUCUUUUGGGAGGAGAUGGAUUUAUGAGUGUAGGAUAGAAUCUUUUAAGAUGAGAUAGAUAUUGUUAGGCUAGAUACUUUAAUGAGAGAUAAUCUAGUUUGUCUAGUUAGUUUAUAAGUAUUAUGUAUAUGCAGAUGUAAUUGUGGACAUUACUCCACAAUCCAUCACACUCAAUCAAAGAUCCAAAUCAGACGAGUAUCAUAAGAACAGACAUUCAAGCAUGCAAAUAUUUAUAUAAAAAUAGUUUUGUUGUGGUUCCUAUGAAUAGGUCUCCUACUCCAAAAAGUUACUUUAGAUACAGGACUUCAAAGUGUGAAAUCCACAUUUGUCUUUAGAAUGAAAAGGUAAGAAUAAUCAGAGUAAAGCGGAAAUAGAUGAGAGAAGAUUAAGAAAAGAUUAGAAAAGAAUCAGAGUAGCAAAGGUAAGUAGAGAAUGGUUGUCCAGUUCUAUCUAGGUUUCGUCCUACAGUCAACAUUCCUCUGAUACCACUUCUGUCACACCCGGGUUUUAGGGGUCCAAAGCCCGGGCGCGAACAUAAACACCAGGUGUGCUGUGACCAAGUCUCACACAUAUGAUGUAUAGUGGCACAGGAUCGAAUGUCACAUCUUUACAUAUAACAGGAGUUCUAUACAAAAUAAAUAAACAAUUACAUUAUAAGGAGACAACGGUCCAGCAACCCAAAGUUGACUGGGAGACGACGGCCUAGACCACUCACGAACUCAUCACAGCAUCCUCCAUGCGCCUCAUCCUGUGGUACCUGUUCUUGACCUGUGGGGGGUGUGAGACAGCAAGAGUGAGCUCACAUACGUUCAUCGCUCAACAAGUUGUGGGGAAUAAUGUGAAUGAACUCGCCAAAGGUGGGAGCUCACGUGAAGUGUAAGGCUUACCAAAGAGGAUGGUUAGAGCUGAGCAUUGCUUUUAAAGUUGGUCAAAAUUUUAUUAGCAGUUACUAAGUACAAGUAAAUACCAACCCAAUUAAAUAGUAGAACAAAAGUAACAACAUCAACUGCGAUGCAAUGCAUAUGGCAAAUUGAAUUUAGUUCCAUAAAUUAAUCAUGUGAGGGUCCGAGCUGCUCAUGACCGUGAGCACGGCUAGUAUACCAGUUUUACACUCUGCAGAGGUUGUACCCUUUACCCACAAGUCAUGUUACCCAUCUGCCAAGGGAUCGCGACUUCCCAUACACCUCUACCGAGGAGGCGAGGCAGGGUAACACUACGAGGCCUUUACAAAGUUCCACUAGCUUCAGAAAACCCGCUACAGUUUAUAGGAAGCUCCAAUGCAGGAAUCCCUUGCAGGACCGCCAUCGCAGCAAAAUCCUCCCGAGGGCCUCCCUACACUGACCACUCCCCUACUGCCCUUGCCCCUUUCGGGUAAGGUAGUCCUCCACUAGCUUUCCUAAUUAAUCAGCCAAGGGCGUCCCAUUAUACCCUUGUGGUAGCACUGUUUUCCCGGGUGGUCGCUCCAUGUUCCAAUUAACAUAAUGAUCUUAUCAUGAACGAUAAAUAACAACGGAUAACAAAAGUAUAAUCAUGAACAUUGUAUCUUCAUACCCAAAACCACAUAAAGCACUAGCAAGUACUACCCAAAAAGUUCAGUGGUAAACAAGGUAUAAAGAUAGGCAAACUAGGGUAACCUAUUGGGUCCCAUCAAAAUUAACCUAUGCAGAUCAUUAUGAUUAAUUAGAACAUGAGUGGGUAGAAAGAAGUGAUCAAGGGCACAACUUGUCUGGCACUUGAGAUUCCAGGUACCUCACCAAAUUGGUCUUCGGGUGACUCGUGACCUCGCUGCUACUCGUAGCAAUACAUACAAUCAAACAAACAAUGUAUAUGGUAACAUUACACUAAAGAUAGAACACAGUUGCAUUAAAACAUAAAAGAUUUGGAUUGUAUAAGCUUUUGGAUUUAUUUUUUUUAUACAAAAAAAACAAUUACAACUUUAUUUAUUAUUUUAUGUAAAUCGAUGCUUCUGCUAGUGCGGAUCCUAUGUGCAAUAAACCAUAUACUUUAGGUCGUGGAAAAUAAUUUUUUUGCAAGAGACAUAAAAUAGUAAAUUCGUUUUUUUUGGGAAAGAACAUGGCUCUUACAAAAAUAUAGGCACGACCGCAGCUUGGACGACGUGACGCGAUUAUAUUGAAGCCAACCACACAUAUGGACAUGGGGUGUUUGAACGAUGAAGAUCCAUGAGACAUCCAGGAACGAACAGUGGCUUGCUUCUUUUCCCUACGUAUACAACGCUUUCUUCGUUUCUUCUCUACUGCACCAACGACACGCACAGCGGGUCGGAACGGCACCGACGGAGUCUUGCUGGCGGCCGGUCCAGAGGAAUCAACGGUGACCGGAUCAUCACCAACCUCAACAACAGACGGUAGCAGCACAGCCCGGCGGCGCCUUGGAAUCUGGCGGCCGGAUCUCACCGGCGACAGCGAUUAGGCGCCCCAAUAUCAUAAUCACCAACGUUCUGGAGUAUGAAUCAUGACGCAAAUAGCUUCUACUCAUAGUGGGCAAGAAAUUGAACUCGGGGAAAGAAAUCUCACCGGAAGGAACAGGGACAGACGGCCUUCAGAGACUCGACCGAGAGUUUUGGCUGUCCGGCAAUGGAGUCAGCCCUGGUAGUAGAGGCAGACCACGAUGCAGCAGCCCGGCGAUGUAGCACUCCGCAGGUGAAGGAUUCCCCGGCCACCAGGGCACCCUCCAUGUGACUCGACGACCAAACUGUCUCUACCUCUCUCUCUCGGCAUUUUCCUCGCUGUUUGGCCCAUGGUAACGCAGCAGAAGCCCCAGACGACGGCAAUAGAAGCGGCCGUGCACCAGAGGAAGCGCGGAGUCGUCAGAGGGAGCCCCGCUCGGCCGCCAAGGAAGAGGAGCAGGGAUACCGGGUGCCGAGCACCAUGGAUGGACAGGAGAGGAGCUCGGUCGAGGGGAGAGAAAUGGAGAGGAGAGGGAGGAGAGAUAAGAGAACUCGGCGACGAAGACUCCAACCCGCUCAUCUCUUCUGUGGCGCGAGGGACGAAGUUCAUAUGGCCAGGGGAGCGGCGCGCGCGCCCCGCCGGGGUCUUCGGCCGGAUUUGUUGAGCUGCCCACGAAGCACGGAUGACUGAGGGUUGUUGGGGGAAGAAGUUGUGCGUGCCCAGAUUCUAGAAGCACUAGACGAGCGGACGCACUGCCACCCAUCGGGAUUCCGUUGAGAUCUCCACGGAAUUAAGUUGGAGAAGGGAGCCAUGAGCGCUGGGCAAGCGGAUGAAUCAGACAGGCAUACCCCGAGGUCACGGGAAAAUCCAAACUGACCCCUAGGUUACCGGUGAGCUAAUCCCUGCGAGGAGGUUGGAUCGUGCGCAGCAAUCGGACCACGCGACAUUAGCGCAACUCCGCCAUGCACGGCGCUCGUUGGGAGGAAGAGGCAUAAUGGCCGUCGACUGGGUCCCGCCAAGCAGUCUGCGCAGCAUGCGUGGGAGCAUCGCGCCAAAGCAUGUGGCGGCUAGGGUUUGGGGCUAGCGUGCAUAGGAUAGCGGCAGCGCCUAGUUGGGCCGCGCAGGCGAAAGGCUAGGUGGGCCGGCACCCAAAAUUCAGCCCACGC
Molecule: long non-coding RNA, 7216 nt
Filed under: Zea mays
Lineage: Eukaryota; Viridiplantae; Streptophyta; Magnoliopsida; Poales; Poaceae
Description: long non-coding RNA (ZMAY_LNC002622)
Source: RNAcentral